UACGGAGGAUCCGAGCGUUAUCCGGAUUUAUUGGGUUUAAAGGGUGCGUAGGUGGAUUGAUAAGUCAGCGGUGAAAGUUUGCAGCUUAACUGUAAAAUUGCCGUUGAAACUGUCGGUCUUGAGUGCAAAUGAGGUAGGCGGAAUGUGUUGUGUAGCGGUGAAAUGCUUAGAUAUAACACAGAACUCCGAUUGCGAAGGCAGCUUACUGGGAUGCAACUGACACUGAUGCACGAAAGCGUGGGUAUCAAACAGGAUUAGAUACCCUGGUAGUCCACGCAGUAAACGAUGAAUACUAGCUGUAUGUGAUAUACCGUAUGUGGCACAGCGAAAGCGUUAAGUAUUCCACCUGGGGAGUACGUUCGCAAGAAUGAA
Molecule: ribosomal RNA, 372 nt
Filed under: uncultured bacterium
Lineage: Bacteria
Description: bacterial SSU rRNA
Rfam family: Bacterial small subunit ribosomal RNA
Source: RNAcentral